Basidiobolus meristosporus CBS 931.73 is the source of this 73-nucleotide non-coding RNA. The record is from the annotation of a GenBank genome assembly. Lineage: Eukaryota; Fungi; Basidiobolomycota; Basidiobolomycetes; Basidiobolales; Basidiobolaceae.
GACUCCUUAGUCUAUGUGGUUAGGACAUAGGAUCUUCAUUCCUGGGAAGCCUGUUCAAGUCUGGCAGGAGUCA